AAAAAAAAAAAAAGAUGGGGAAAUGUGUGCACAUCUAUUGACAGCAGUAGAAAAUACAGAAGGUUUUACAGGAAAAAAACAAUCAAUACAUAAGUUACAUAAAAAAACAAACCUUGUUGCCAUCUUACUUUGCUCUGCAAAAUGAGCAGCUGAUCCCUUUCAGGCCUUGGGUGAGCAGCAGGCACAUGGGCACCUGGUUUUUCACCGCACAGCUU
This 215-nucleotide long non-coding RNA is filed under the name Gallus gallus (chicken). The record is from RNAcentral. Lineage: Eukaryota; Metazoa; Chordata; Aves; Galliformes; Phasianidae.